CUGCUGCCUCCCGUAGGAGUUUGGGCCGUGUCUCAGUCCCAAUGUGGCCGGCCACCCUCUCAGGUCGGCUACUGAUCGUCGCCUUGGUGGGCCUCUACCCCGCCAACCAGCUAAUCAGACGCGGAUCCAUCUCAUACCGCCUCAGCUUUUCACACCGAGACAUGCAUCUCUGUGCGCUUAUGCGGUAUUAGCAGUCAUUUCUAACUGUUAUCCCCCUGUAUGAGGCAGGUUAU
RNAcentral lists this ribosomal RNA (233 nucleotides) under uncultured bacterium. Its description in RNAcentral is "partial 16S ribosomal RNA". The record is from RNAcentral.